AGAAGCAAGCUCUCAGGAGGGGAAGAGCAGAGAGCAGGUUUGGGUCAGUGCUCGCCAGCCUGCAUUCUUGCCUUGAUGUCCAGCCCUGCUACAGCGAAAGAACUACAGAGUGCGAGCAGGUAAUCCGGGAAGGAGGUCAUGCAGUGGUUUGGGCCGGGCAGCUGCAAGGAAAACUGGUUGCCAUCAAGGCCUUCCCACCGAGGUCUGUGGCUCAGUUCCAAGCUGAGAGAGCAUUGUACGAACUUCCAGGCCUACAGCACGACCACAUUGUCCGAUUUAUCACUGCCAGCCGGGGGGGCCCUGGCCCCCUGGUCUCUGGGCCCCUGCUGGUACUGGAACUGCAUCCCAAGGCCAAUAUAAACCAGGUAUUGCCCACCGAGAUCUGAGCAGCCAGAAUGUGCUCAUUCGGGAAGAUGGAUCAUGUGCCAUUGGAGACCUGGGCCUUGCCUUGGUGCUCCCUGGCCUCACUCAGCCCCCUGCCUGGACCCCUACUCAACCACAAGGCCCAGCUGCCAUCAUGGAAGUGAGUUCUCUGGAUAACUGGUGAGGCCCAGGAUGAUGUUGGUGCUGCUGAUGGUAAUGCAGCCGUUGUGUGUCAACAGUUGUAGCAAUACCUAUAGCAUUUGGGGCAUUGCUGAGUCUGUAGUUGGGGGGAUAUUGCAUGGACCAUUGCUGCAAUGAGGGUUGCCACAGAGAUGAUUCUUGGCCCUUCGUGCCUUGCUCUCCAGGCUGGCACCCAGAGGUACAUGGCACCAGAGCUCUUGGACAAGACUCUGGACCUACAGGAUUGGGGCAUGGCCCUCCGACGAGCUGAUAUUUACUCUUUGGCUCUGCUCCUGUGGGAGAUACUGAGCCGCUGCCCAGAUUUGAGUCCUGGUAAGGAUGGGUGGUACAGUCCCCUCUCCUGGGCUCCUCCCCGCCCAUUCUAGGUUCACCCCAACCUGACCUGGCCUGAGAAAGCUCUGCUCUUCCCUGUCUUGCCCUUUCUACAUGGUAGGCACCCCUAGGACUAACUGACACCCAGCCCCUCUACCUUCCUCCAGACAGCAGUCCACCACCCUUCCAACUGGCCUAUGAGGCAGAACUGGGCAAUACCCCUACCUCUGAUGAGCUAUGGGCCUUGGCAGUGCAGGAGAGGAGGCGUCCCUACAUCCCAUCCACCUGGCGCUGCUUUGCCACAGUAAGAGGCCUAGGCUGUUGGGCUGGGAACCUGGAGAGUGGGGACUGGGCAUGGGCUUCAAGGACCUCUCUGCCAGGGUGUCUGUCUACUCCUAUCUCCUCUUAUCUCCCAUCACUCCUUGGUUCAUGCUCAGCUGGAACUGGGCAAGCCUCCUCUCCCCUUCAGUUCAUCCUCUUCCACCCUAAGUCUCAACAGUCAAUUCCAUCUACCUGAGACACACACCUUCCUCUUGCUCAGCCUUGCCCAGCCUGUCUCUCCUCUCUACCAUCAGUUAGCCCUGUUCCUCAGUCUCCUUCUCCAGGAAGCCCUCGAGCUUGGCUUUGCUGUUGCCCUGAGCUCUGCCCCAUCUGCUCUCCUAAUACAGUAAAGCCCAAAAAUCAAUUCAAUAAGUCCCCAUUCUGUCAUACAUUGAUGAUGUUUCUGCUGUGACCCAAUAAAAGGCAGUUCUGGGUAUAAAGGGUGAAAGCAGUGGCGUCACAGUGAAAGUUCAGGGCUUUGCACAAAUACUUUUUUAACAGAAUGUCCCUUCUGCUACCUGAUCUGAAAUUUCCACGGCACAAGUCUUAGGUUAGCUAACAGAAACUGGGCAUUGCUUGCAGAAGACUCUGGCCCUCUGAGAGGAAAGAGAGUAGUUUCCUAUUAGCAUAUUAAGCUGUCAACCUACAUUAGCUCCUCAGAGGAAACGGUGGGCUAUACAGAAGGCCCCCAGAGAGCCUGUUUCAUAGGGAGCAAGACUCAGAGGGCUGGAAUUCAGCAAGAGGGAGAGGAAGGAAGCUCCAGGAAAGAUCAGAAGUGGAUGGUGAAAGCAGGAGAGUGAUGGAUACUGAAGAUGGCUUGUAACCCUGGGGCCCACUCAAGAUCCUAGGGUCAACCCUUCCUCCCUGUCAUUCCCCCCAGGACCCUGAUGGGCUGAGGGAGCUCCUAGAAGACUGUUGGGAUGCAGACCCAGAAGCACGGCUGACGGCUGAGUGUGUACAGCAGCGCC
RNAcentral lists this small RNA (2165 nucleotides) under Pongo abelii (Sumatran orangutan). RNAcentral's name for it is "retained intron". The record is from RNAcentral. Lineage: Eukaryota; Metazoa; Chordata; Mammalia; Primates; Hominidae.